UACGGGGGGAACGCGAAGAACCUUACCAGGUCUUGACAUCCUUUGACCACUCUAGAGAUAGAGCUUCCCCUUCGGGGGCAAAGUGACAGGUGGUGCAUGGUUGUCGUCAGCUCGUGUCGUGAGAUGUUGGGUUAAGUCCCGCAACGAGCGCAACCCUUAUUGUUAGUUGCCAUCAUUCAGUUGGGCACUCUAGCAAGACUGCCGGUGACAAACCGGAGGAAGGUGGGGAUGACGUCAAAUCAUCAUGCCCCUUAUGACCUGGGCUACACACGUGCUACAAUGGGAAGUACAACGAGUCGCGAAGUCGCGAGGCUAAGCUAAUCUCUUAAAGCUUCUCUCAGUUCGGAUUGCAGGCUGCAACUCGCCUGCAUGAAGCCGGAAUCGCUAGUAAUCGCUCAUCAGCAUCGCCGCUCGC
RNAcentral lists this ribosomal RNA (415 nucleotides) under uncultured bacterium. Its description in RNAcentral is "bacterial SSU rRNA". It matches the Rfam family "Bacterial small subunit ribosomal RNA", at positions 950 to 1363 of the family's 1533-position model. The record is from RNAcentral.